CAUAUACUCCCUCCGUCCGGAAAUACUUGUCAUCAAAAUGAAUAAAAGGGAAUGUAUCUAGAUGUAUUUUAGUUCUAUAUACAUCCCUUUUUAUCCCUUUUGAAGAGAAAUAUUUUCGGACUAAGGAAGUAUUUU
Non-coding RNA from Triticum urartu, 135 nucleotides. NCBI's taxonomy places the organism in Eukaryota, Viridiplantae, Streptophyta, Magnoliopsida, Poales, Poaceae. The record is from Rfam.